Molecule: ribosomal RNA, 253 nt
Filed under: uncultured bacterium
Lineage: Bacteria
Description: partial 16S ribosomal RNA
Rfam family: Bacterial small subunit ribosomal RNA
Source: RNAcentral
UACGAGUGCCCCAAGCGUUAUCCGGAAUUAUUGGGUGUAAAGGGUGUGUAGGAGGUCAUAUUAGUCGUGUGUCAAAACUCUGGGCUUAACCUAGAAUCUGCACGCGAAACGGUAUGACUAGAGGACGCGAGAGAUGUGUAGAACUCAUAGUGUAGGGGUGAAAUCCGUUGAUAUUAUGGGGAAUACCAAAAGCGAAGGCAGCACAUUGGCGCGCUCCUGACUCUGAAACACGAAAGCGUGGGUAGCGAAUGAG